GCAGGAGAGGCUGGCAGCACUGAAAGAGGUGGCCAGCAAACUACCAGAGGCCAAUCUCCUCCUGCUCUGGCGCUUGCGGUCACUGCUUAGCAGCAUCAGCAAGAAUGUGGCCACAGCAAAGAUGACUGCUGGGAACCUGGCCAUGUGCCUGGCACCAAACCUGCUGAGCCCACCCCAGGAGCUGCCCCUGGAUAUCCUGGCUCUGGAAACAGAGAAGGUGAUGAAGCUUGUCGAGUUCCUCAUCGACCAGCAGGAGGAAUUCAUGGGAGAGCAGGUGGCCAGGCUGGCCAGACAGGGGGAUGAGG
Pezoporus occidentalis (night parrot) is the source of this 305-nucleotide long non-coding RNA. RefSeq lists it as uncharacterized. The record is from RefSeq and is a predicted model, not a curated record. The transcript is spliced from 3 exons. Lineage: Eukaryota; Metazoa; Chordata; Aves; Psittaciformes; Psittacidae.